This 73-nucleotide transfer RNA is filed under the name Marmota monax (woodchuck). Its description in RNAcentral is "tRNA.Ala". The record is from RNAcentral. Lineage: Eukaryota; Metazoa; Chordata; Mammalia; Rodentia; Sciuridae.
UGGGGUUUUAGCUCAGUGGUAGAGUGCUUGCCUAGCAGAUGUAAGCCCCUGGGUUCAAUCCUCAGCACCACAU